GCGACCCCAGGACGGGCGAGGCCACCCGCCGAGUUUAAGCAU
This 42-nucleotide ribosomal RNA is filed under the name Kefersteinia sp. SRR-2011. RNAcentral's name for it is "partial 26S ribosomal RNA". RNAcentral also lists the same sequence under 1 other name. Lineage: Eukaryota; Viridiplantae; Streptophyta; Magnoliopsida; Asparagales; Orchidaceae. The record is from RNAcentral.